RNAcentral lists this ribosomal RNA (254 nucleotides) under uncultured bacterium. RNAcentral's name for it is "partial 16S ribosomal RNA". It matches the Rfam family "Bacterial small subunit ribosomal RNA", at positions 524 to 776 of the family's 1533-position model. The record is from RNAcentral.
UACGGGGGGGGGCAAGCGUUGUUCGGAAUUACUGGGCGUAAAGGGCUCGUAGGUGGCCAACUAAGUCGGACGUGAAAUCCCUCAGCUUAACUGGGGAACUGCGUCCGAUACUGGAUGGCUUGAGUUUGGGAGAGGGAUGCGGAAUUCCAGGUGUAGCGGUGAAAUGCGUAGAUAUCUGGAGGAACACCGGUGGCGAAGGCGGCAUCCUGGACCGGCAUUGACGCUGAGGCGCGAAAGCCAGGGGAGCAAACGGG